Molecule: unclassified non-coding RNA, 286 nt
Filed under: Hevea brasiliensis (rubber tree)
Lineage: Eukaryota; Viridiplantae; Streptophyta; Magnoliopsida; Malpighiales; Euphorbiaceae
Source: RNAcentral
ACAAUGCUAAUUAGUGAUGCUGGACAGGUGUAUGCCUUUGGAAAGGACUCCUUCGGUGAAGCUGAAUAUGGAGUUCAAGGAACUAAAUUGGUUACGACUCCACAAUUGGUUGAAUCUUUGAAAAACAUAUUUGUGGUCCAAGCUGCAAUAGGGAAUUUUUUCACUGCUGUAUUGUCCAGAGAAGGCAGGGUUUAUACAUUUUCUUGGGGCAGUGAUGGCAAACUUGGUCACCAGACUGAGCCAAAUGAUGUGGAACCUCAUCCUUUGUUGGGGGCACUUGAGAAUA